UCCGACGAACGGAAACGUGAAACUCUGAGUAACAGUUUUGUGAUGUUUUUGAAGCUUUAAUAAGAAAGCAUGUUACUCUACCUUCGCUAUUCGAGAACUACUUUUUCCACCUUGUUUUGCAUUAUGUGCUUAUUCACACUUGUUUAUAUAUAUAUAUAUAUAUG
Long non-coding RNA from Octopus sinensis (East Asian common octopus), 164 nucleotides. RefSeq lists it as uncharacterized. Lineage: Eukaryota; Metazoa; Mollusca; Cephalopoda; Octopoda; Octopodidae. The transcript has 3 exons. The record is from RefSeq and is a predicted model, not a curated record.